GGGUGCGAUCAUACCAGCACUAAAGCACCRGAUCCCAUCAGAACUCCGCAGUUAAGCGUGCUUGGGCGAGAGUAGUACUAGGAUGGGUGACCCCCUGGGAAGUCCUCGUGUUGCACCCCA
RNAcentral lists this ribosomal RNA (120 nucleotides) under Rhododendron micranthum. The record is from RNAcentral. Lineage: Eukaryota; Viridiplantae; Streptophyta; Magnoliopsida; Ericales; Ericaceae.